GACGAACGCUGGCGGCGUGCUUAACACAUGCAAGUCGAGCGGUAAGGCCCUUUCGGGGGUACGACGAGCGGCGAACGGGUGAGUAACACGUGGGUGACCUGCCCUCAGCUCUGGGAUAAGCCUGGGAAACCGGGUCUAAUACUGGAUAUGACUCCAUGACGCAUGUUGUGGGGUGGAAAGCCUUGUGCGGCUGAGGAUGGGCCCGCGGCCUAUCGGCUUGUUGGUGGGGUGAUGGCCUACCAAGGCGACGACGGGUAGCCGGCCUGAGAGGGCGACCGGCCACACUGGGACUGAGACACGGCCCAGACUCCUACGGGAGGCAGCAGUGGGGAAUCUUGCGCAAUGGGCGAAAGCCUGACGCAGCGACGCCGCGUGAGGGAUGACGGCCUGG
Molecule: ribosomal RNA, 391 nt
Filed under: uncultured bacterium
Lineage: Bacteria
Description: bacterial SSU rRNA
Rfam family: Bacterial small subunit ribosomal RNA
Source: RNAcentral